Molecule: ribosomal RNA, 229 nt
Filed under: uncultured bacterium
Lineage: Bacteria
Description: partial 16S ribosomal RNA
Rfam family: Bacterial small subunit ribosomal RNA
Source: RNAcentral
UGCGCAGGCGGGCUUGUAAGUCAGUGGUGAAGUACUGCCGCUUAACGGUAGAACUGCCAUUGAUACUGCAAGUCUUGAAUAUGGUUGAGGUAGGCGGAAUGUGUCGUGUAGCGGUGAAAUGCAUAGAUAUGACACAGAACGCCAAUUGCGAAGGCAGCUUACUAAGCCAUUAUUGACGCUGAGGCACGAAAGCGUGGGGAGCGAACAGGAUUAGAUACCCUGGUAGUCC